This 292-nucleotide unclassified non-coding RNA is filed under the name fungal sp. Its description in RNAcentral is "partial internal transcribed spacer region". The stretch from base 1 to 46 matches the Rfam family "Eukaryotic small subunit ribosomal RNA", at positions 1786 to 1831 of the family's 1831-position model. The record is from RNAcentral. Lineage: Eukaryota; Fungi.
AAGUCGUAACAAGGUUUCCGCAGGUGAACCUGCGGAAGGAUCAUUAACACGUCUUUAUAUCCAAUAUAUAAACUAAACGCGAACUAAAACCCCCGCCCUAUCAUCUACACGGUCAAGGUUGAUUUUAAUUAACUCUGACUGAUGGUAGGCAAUUUUAUCAACAAUCAUUUUAAACUCUUAUAACCUAGUUGAUCUAACUACUAAGACAUUCUAGUAUUCAUUCUAUGAAUACUGCUUGUUGUUAUAUUACGAAAUGUAAGAACAACUCUUAGCAAUGGAUAUCUUGGUUCUC